This is a non-coding RNA of Ictidomys tridecemlineatus (thirteen-lined ground squirrel), 2522 nucleotides long. Lineage: Eukaryota; Metazoa; Chordata; Mammalia; Rodentia; Sciuridae. The record is from RefSeq and is a predicted model, not a curated record.
CCGCACGCCGGAGCUUUCCAUUGGCGGGCAGCCCCCGCGCCCUCCCACAUGCCGCGUUCUCAUUGGUCCACAUGCCAUAGAGCCCAGACGGGCGGCUCCACGCUGCCCUUCCCCAUUGGCUGGUGGUGUCUUGGCCCUAGACAGUUGUCGGCUUCCGAUUGAACCUUAGCGGUCCACAGGAAGUAGCUGCGGCCGCCUCGGAAGCUGCAUGGGCAGCCAUAUUGGAUAGGGGCAGCUGCCUUAGCUGUUGCUGGAGCUGUGGGCGGAAGUAGGAUCUGGCUGCCUCCCAGCGUCAUACUAAAUUGUCCUGCAUUUCACUUGUACUUGUCCCCACGCCCGCCCGGGAGACGCUGCGGAUCUCCCUAACAGGAGCCUGGACUCGUGGUGCAGGGUCAGGAGUUCUAGGGUCAGCCGAGACUCAAUAGAUCAAGUAGGGCUUAACAGCCGCAGACGACAAAUUAUUUUUCCCUUCUUGUUUUGAACAGUCACGUGGGUGAGGGAACCAACCUCUGGGAGUCCGCUGAGGCUCAGGCACCCGCCUGCCCGCCCCAGCUGGCUGAAACCUGCCUUGUCCAGGGUGGGAUGUACUGUAGGUUCCCCCUGGCGGAAGGGCUCGGAGCCCAUCAAUCCCCGCUCAUCCCGAGGCUUUGGUGUCGCCUCAGUGUGGUGGCUACGGGGUUUAGGAGGUUUGUCCUCCACUUUUGGAAGCGAUGUGCAUUUGCUCACAAGCUCCCGACGCAUGCUUGAGCACGCUGGCCCGCCUGCUUUCCAGCUGAGCCAUCAAGGCCUUUGGCUAUCGAGCUACUUCCCGAGUGGGGUCCCGUGGGUCGACUGACAAGCACCAGAGGAUGUGUCCUCCUGGGCUGCCCUGCUUCCAAGGCUUGGCUACCUGUCCUUGAAGAAUUUGUAUUCACAGACUACCUCAAGAAGAUGGCUAUGUAAAGAAAAAAGAAAAAAAAAACCUUCAAAUCCUACUAAUUUUUAAAAGUACUUUCCAGAAAGAAAUCCAGAAUGCUCCCUGACCCUGUGGGCUCACGGGAUAGGACUGCCUUACAUGUAGCAGGUACAAAUUAAACAAAACCAAAAAACCCCAGAAUCUUUACAUCAAUUCAUUUGCAUCAAACUCCUAUCUAAUGCUCAUUCCACAGCAGGAGUGUAUUGGAACUGCCUUCCAAAGGCUGUCCAUGAUUUUUUAUUUGCAUACUUAAUAUCCUGAUCCAUACUGUGGGGAUUAGGAUGGAGGGACAUAAGUAUGCAGACCCAGGAAAGUCCAGGCUCUGGUGAGGAUUUGAUUCACGUUAUGAUUUUAUUCAUGUAAUUGGCUAAUAUUUGACUUGAGGAUUUGAAUUCAUGUUAUGGUGGCUCCCUCUAACAAGGGAGUGCUGUGUUAGCACUAAUUUCUCCAUCUCUACUAACUUGCUUCUUUCCCACUGCCCUGGGCAGCCAAUUCCAUGGUAGGAGAGGGUGAUGGUUAUUUUCAUGAUGGAAUUUAAAUAUAAGUGUUUAUAUGUUUAUGGGACUUCUGAACUACUUCAGAUGUAUUCUAAGAAUCUGCAGGGAGUCUAGGAUCCAGUGACUGAGUGAUUGAGUUCUUCAAAGAAGGAUCGAUUACUCAUAAUCCUACUUUCUAGUCCCACUCAGUCUUUUGACCACCAGGGGGAGUUGCUGACUUACAAGAGUUUAGAGGAUUCUUUGCAGGUCAUUCAUCUCAGGUUUCUAAAGCAACAGGGAGAACAGCAGGGUCAAUGGGUAUGGUCUCAUGACUACUGGGAGUGGGGAAGUAACUCCAAUGUAAAGGACUCUGCUCCAGACCACCUUCUCCAUGAAAACUUUCUCCUCAUUUACCCAAAUGGAGUACAUCACUCCCUUUGUCUAGGAAUAUCUAUUACUGCAUCUACCACAUCUGUCUUCUUCUUUGAUGUCAUACACAGUUUUCUGCCUUUUACAGAGUCUAACACUGUUCCUGAUGAGAUAUUGGGUCAACACAUGGGUUGUAUGAGUGUUGUGGUCUAGAAGUAACUUCUCUUUCUUGUUGCCUCUGCCCUUGCCAUCUUUCCCUACUUUGGGCCCUAGUUUGUCACCAAAACUGGUAAUCAUCUCUCUUAAAAUACUCUAAAAUAUGUUAUGGAAUUUGACCCCCCUCCUUGGCAUCUGAUUUGGCUUUAGUGACUUGCUAGCUAACAGAAAUGAGGCAAAGAGAGUUUCUAGGAUUUCCAAAGCUAGGUAAUAAAAAUCCUUGCAGGUUCUACCUGGGUCUCUUGGAGUGCUGAUUCUGGGGAAAAUCAGCAGUCAUGCUAAGAGAAGCCUAAGCCAUUUGGAAAGGUCAUAUGUAGGAGCUCAAGUUGACAGCCCUAGUUAAGCUCCUCCCGACAGCUAUCUGAUCAACUGGUAGCCAUUUAAGUGAACCAACUUGGACAUCCAGCCCAAUUGAACCUUUAAAUGAUUCCAGUCCGAAGUAACAUCUAAUUCAGUGAGCUGUUAACUCAGACUUAGACAUAGUAAUAAAUUGUUUUAAGACACUA